RNAcentral lists this non-coding RNA (87 nucleotides) under Rhodobacteraceae bacterium PD-2. Its description in RNAcentral is "Glycine riboswitch aptamer". It matches the Rfam family "Glycine riboswitch aptamer". From Rfam's summary of the family: This family represents the bacterial glycine riboswitch. Glycine riboswitches usually consist of two metabolite-binding aptamers domains with similar structures in tandem. Lineage: Bacteria; Pseudomonadati; Pseudomonadota; Alphaproteobacteria; Rhodobacterales; Paracoccaceae. RNAcentral also lists the same sequence under 1 other name. The record is from Rfam by way of RNAcentral.
GCGAUCACGACGGGAGAACCGGCCUUGCCGGUGCCGAAGGCGCAACCGCCCCGGAAACGCUCAGGCCCCACGGACCGUCGCGGUGCA